RNAcentral lists this ribosomal RNA (468 nucleotides) under uncultured bacterium. Its description in RNAcentral is "partial 16S ribosomal RNA". It matches the Rfam family "Bacterial small subunit ribosomal RNA", at positions 28 to 507 of the family's 1533-position model. The record is from RNAcentral.
GACGAACGCUGGCGGCGUGCUUAACACAUGCAAGUCGAACGGAAAGGCCCUGCUUUUGUGGGGUGCUCGAGUGGCGAACGGGUGAGUAACACGUGAGUAACCUGCCCUUGACUUUGGGAUAACUUCAGGAAACUGGGGCUAAUACCGGAUAGGAGCUCCUGCUGCAUGGUGGGGGUUGGAAAGUUUCGGCGGUUGGGGAUGGACUCGCGGCUUAUCAGCUUGUUGGUGGGGUAGUGGCUUACCAAGGCUUUGACGGGUAGCCGGCCUGAGAGGGUGACCGGCCACAUUGGGCCUGAGAUGCCGCCCAGACUCCUACGGGAGGCAGCAGUGGGGAAUAUUGCACAAUGGGCGGAAGCCUGAUGCAGCAACGCCGCGUGCGGGAUGACGGCCUUCGGGUUGUAAACCGCUUUCGCCUGUGACGAAGCGUGAGUGACGGUAAUGGGUAAAGAAGCACCGGCUAACUACGUG